CAGGGAACUGAAACAUCUAAGUACCUGGAGGAAGAGAAAGAAAAAUCGAUUUCCUGAGUAGCGGCGAGCGAAACGGAAAGAGCCCAAACCAAGAAGCUUGCUUCUUGGGGUUGUAGGACACUCUAUACGGAGUUACAAAAGAAAGUUAUAAAUGAAGCGGUCUGGAAAGGCCCGCCAAAGACGGUAACAGCCCGGUAGUUGAAAUAGCUUUCCCUCCAGAGUGGAUCCUGAGUACGGCGGAACACGUGAAAUUCCGUCGGAAUCCGGGAGGACCAUCUCCCAAGGCUAAAUACUCCCUAGUGACCGAUAG
This 310-nucleotide ribosomal RNA is filed under the name Listeria monocytogenes. RNAcentral's name for it is "bacterial LSU rRNA". It matches the Rfam family "Bacterial large subunit ribosomal RNA", at positions 186 to 490 of the family's 2925-position model. The record is from RNAcentral. Lineage: Bacteria; Bacillati; Bacillota; Bacilli; Caryophanales; Listeriaceae.